This is a non-coding RNA of Pelobates cultripes (western spadefoot toad), 147 nucleotides long. Lineage: Eukaryota; Metazoa; Chordata; Amphibia; Anura; Pelobatidae. The record is from the annotation of a GenBank genome assembly.
AAUAGGGACUUCCUCAGGGACCACAAUAUUAAGAAACAAUUUGAUACAGUACAAUCAAAAAACAAAUCAAAAUCAAAAAAGGGCUGUUUUUUGAUUGUACUGUAUCAAAUUGUUUCUUAAUAUUGUGGUCCCUGAGGAAGUCCCUAU